Non-coding RNA from Misgurnus anguillicaudatus (oriental weatherfish), 4718 nucleotides. The record is from RefSeq and is a predicted model, not a curated record. NCBI's taxonomy places the organism in Eukaryota, Metazoa, Chordata, Actinopteri, Cypriniformes, Cobitidae.
AAGAAUAAAAAAUAAUUAAAAUAGGGCAUAUAUAAUAUAGUGCAAUCAGUUUGGACGCAGCAUAGUGCUCAUUCAGUAAAUGCAUAGCUAAACAGAUGUGUUUUGAGUCUGGAUUUGAAUAGGCCUAUUUCACAAUAUGGCGGCCGAGACCGGAUGUAGGUAAAACGCAUUUCCGGUGAAAGCUAUUCCGGUGAAAGCCUUUCCAAAACAAUGGCGGAGACUAAAAGUAGUCAGUCUUGUUCAGUUUAUGCUUGUUCAGUUUAUGCCUUUGUGCUUAAAUUCUAAAAAAAAAAAAACCCUACUUGUCCUUUCACAGCUUUCCGAGCGAUGAAAUUGCUAAAAAGCGUUGGAUUUGGGCAAUUCGAAGAGAUGAGGGAGCAUCAUUUACAGUGAGGAGGGGCAGCAGUUUUGUGUGUGUUAUGCACUUCACGGAGAAUGAAGUCCGCGUCCACCCCGAGUCUGGUCGUAAAUACCUUACUCCACAGGCUGUGCCUUCCAGGUUUUCUUGGAACAACUGGGGAGAUGUUAAAUCACGCCAGACACGGACGGCAAAAAGAGGUGUUUGUAGUGAGCAGGAGGAAGCAGAUGUUGAAAUGAAGAGUUGAUACUGCGCUGCUGGUGCACGACUACGAUAUCCGUGCUCCCCCGGGUGCUCUUGAUGAGGCGCUGGAAAAAAUAAAGGAGCUGGAGGAACUGGUGUCAAGCCUUACCAUCUCUCGAGCUUUGCUGGAGAAAUGGUGUGUGUCUGAUGAAGACUUCAGACACUUUACAAGAUUCCCAAACAAAAACAUAUUUUUUGUUUUCUGGAGAUUGAGCCCUCUGCAUCCAGGAUUGUAUACUGGUCCAAAGCCAAGCGGAUUGGAAUUUCAACGGUACAGAAAGAGGUUGUGAAGGCAAGCCCUCAGCGCAAGAUGCAGCUCAUUGAUGAGUUUUUCAUGUUUUGUUUGCGUGUUGCUGUCGGCCUUAGAGAGAGAGUUUUGGCCGAGAUUUUUCAAGUUAGCACUUCUACAGUGAGUCGCAUUACCAUCACAUGGUCAAACUACCUGUACCUUGUGUUGGGUUCGGUUUCAAUCUGGAUGACCCGGGACCAGGUGAGGCGAACAAUGCCUGUAAAGUUCCAGCAGUACUGCCCAAAUGUGAGGGUCAUUAUUGACUGCACAGAGUUCAGAUGUGAGAGCCCAGAGGCAAUUACCCUCCACUCUGAAACCUUUUCAACCUACAAGAGCUAUAUCACCUUCAAAGCUUUAAUUGGAGUGGCACCCUGUGGUGCAAUCACAUUUGCAUCCAAGUUAUUUACUGGCUCUAUCUCUGACAAGGAGUUGACAAGGCAGUCAGGGAUUUUGAACUUACUGGAGCCAGGUGACGAGGUUAUGGCAGAUAAGGGCUUCCUCAUUGGAAAGUUUCUGGAGGAUGUUAAGGCAAAAUUAAUCAUCCCCCCUUUCAAGCACAGAGACCAGUUUAGCAGAGAGGAAACUGAGAGAACCCAGGCCAUUGCCAGACUUCGCAUCCUUGUUGAACGUGCAAUUAGACGAGUAAAAGAGUACCACAUUUGGGAUUCUCCAAUUCCCCUCACUUUAGCAGGCACUGUUAAUCAGAUGUGGUCUUGCUGUUGCAUGAUGGCAAAUUACCAGGGUCCUUUAGAUCUGGAAGGUGAGAUACAAUACUGGACAGAGUGAACACCUACUUACCUGUCAUUCACAUCACCUCCUCACCAACAGCCAGUAACAUUGGCCCACCUCCUCCUGCUCACCUACCAGUAACAUCGGCCACCACCUCAUUAUCAGCCAGUAACAUUGAUCUUUUUAACAUUGAAGUUUUUUUUAUUACCGCAAGACUCUUCAGUCAACCUUGCUAUAACCAGAGAAGACCUUGUCCUGAGCUAGCUUUCUUUGUGACACUGUGGUGCAUUUUCUGUAAACCAGUAACAACAGAACACAUCUCAUCAACAGCCAGUAACAUUGGCUCACCACCUCAUCAACAGCCAGAAACAUCAGUCACCAUCUCAUCAACAGCCAAACCAGAGAAGACCUUGUACUGAGCCAGCCUACUUAUUUUCUGCAAAGCAUGAAUGUAUGUUCCAAAGUAGAAUUCAUCAGCUUUAGCCUUGAUUUAUUGGAUCAGCACAUCAUCUCUCCAUACUCUUUCUACUGUAAAGUCACCCCUAGUGUGUCUAACCACAUCACACCAAGCUAAGCCAGUGACCAUCAGCUGACCCUGAACUUGCCAGUGGGCAUUUAACUUCUACCAAGCCAUAGGGAGGUUCUUCAUUGGGGUCCACCACUUUGCCAUCUGGACUGGCACCAAGAUGCGGAGCAUGGGGGUGGAUGACGAGACCGCAUGGAAAAACGUUGACAUCAAAGGUGGCAGCAUAGCGAUGAAGAACCUCUGGCUCAAGUUCCAGUCCUCUUCGCAUUGCCUUGGUCUGGGGGGCACCUUUAAUGAUUCGUCCAGCAAGUGUCUUCGCAGUGGCUUCCGAUCUCACAUGUGAUGCUUCAUGAAACUUGCUUGCUGUAAGCCGCAGACGGCGCAUGCUUACCCAGAGGGGGCUUUUGGACUGGUCUCGUGUUCCCUCUUCAAUGAUCCUUGCCAUUUCAGGUGUCACCUCCAAACUCUCCAUAUGUAGGAGUUCAGCCCAGCUGCCGGGAACAAAAUUGUAUUGAGGAAUUGUGUAUUGUGGGACAGGUAAUGGAGGGAACUGUGGAGCAUUUGGUUGAGUAAACACAUCUUUUGGCAGCACAGCAGGACACUGGUAAGAAAGCAGUGAACCUUUGGGGACCUCUCCAAAUUUUGAUGACACCAUUGUUACAGCAGACAUCCCAUCAACAAUCUUGGCUAUCAGUGGUUGGGGCCGAAGAGAAAUGAGGGAUGCUGCUCCAGCAAGGACAUCAUUGUCAGGCAAAGGUCCUAAAACACAAUGUUCAUGUAUCAGCGUGUUAAGUGUCACCUUAUUUAAAGACCUUUUUUUAGUGUUUGGAGAUUACCUCCAAAUGCCCUAUACAGUGUUGACAGGACACUGCUCCUGCCACUGCCAGAGGCUUUUGGCUUGCGCACCACAAGCUCAUCCACUGGUUCAGGAGUUAUGCCCUGACAAACAUUACAUAUACAAUUUCAUAAGAAGAUUGUAACCUUAUUUGCACAUUAGGCACUAUAAUUUUUUUUUAUUACUCCUGAUUUACUAUUUAGUACAGCUUUAUGAUUAAGUGAUGAUUUAUUAAAUGUGUUUGAAAGAUGAGUUGUUGUCUUAUUUUAUUAUAUUUUACCUGUGUGCGGGGCCUGUGCCAGGACUGCUCCUUGCUUGUGCACGCAAUGGCAGCUGGAACUGUCUUGAUGCCUAGCGUACUAAAAUGUGCUGUCUGAUAAAGCAAUGCAACCAGAUGGUUGCACAAACUUCUUCCAGCAGCACAUGAGCAUGUAUAUGCUGUCAGUUCAGGUGGGGUGAUGGUUUCAAGUGUGAUCUGAAGAAUGUGAUAGAAAGACCUUCAUGUAUUUUACAUAUUUAUUUGUUUUGCUGUUCAUUUAAGAAGUAGACUGAACCAUUUACUCCCAACAGUACAAUGUGUAUUUGUAGCUACAUUUUAUAUUUAUAGUUCUACUUGUACAAUAUAAAUUUUUUUAAUCCAAUUCCAUGUAAAGAUUUGCAUUUUUGCAUUGACCCUGUCUAGUCAACGUUUGCUGCCAUCUACUGGGGAAGAACACUAAAAAUAACAUAUUUCAUACUAACAUACAAUGACAUCAUUCUAAUUUAUUUAUUUACUUAUUUUGUGUGUACAUUUAUAGUAUCAACUUUUUACUAUAAUUUUAAAUGCCCUAAACAAUGUACAAGGGUUACAAUGACCAUUAUAGUGUAAAAGCUAUGUUAUGUUAAUGGUAACUGCAGUUGGUGCUGUUAUUACAAAACUGUCCCAAAAUCUGUUUAUCAGAAAACAAACCAUUCAUUAUUACAUCCAGUAACUUAUUAUUUACCUCAAGCUGAUGUGGUUCCUCUCGCUUUCGUAACGACCUAUAACACCUGGCCCUAAUAACAAUUUUCCCUGAAAUAAUGUUUGUGACUGAACACACACAAAUACACAGUUAACAAGUUUUUUAUUAUUAUUUUUAUUAAGAACACUUUUAAAUCAUUCAUAAAACAACAUUGAUCGUUCUACCAUGAUAACUGCCUAGCAUAAUACCUACCUUGAUAAUCAAAAAUAAAUUGCUCAAAAAAAAAUUGUACCCUUUAUCUAAUUUUGACCUUCUUACCUCUCUCUGAAAACUAUCAACAAAACGGACAACAUCUGCUAUUCUUACUUUAGGUAAAUUAUUUAAUGUCUGAGAAAAAACAAGCUGUUAGCGGUCCAUUAUGAUUAUGAUAAUGAAUUAAUGAAUUAAUGAAUGAGAUCCUAGCCGGCGACGGCGCGACCGGAAAUGCGUUUUACCUACAUCCGGUCUCGGCCGCCAUAUUGUGAAAUAGGCCUAUGUGGCUACUGUUGGAGCACAUCUGAUCUCCUCUGAAAGCUGGUUCCAACUCCGACUGGCAUAAUAGCUAAAAGCUGACUCUUCUUGCUUUGAGUGAACCCUUGGUAUUUCUAGCUGAUGUGAUCCUAAUGAUCUGAGUGAUCUGUUGGGUUUAUAUUCAAUGAGCAUAUCAGCAAUGUAUUGAGGUCCUAGUCCACUGAGUGAUUUAUAUACCAUUAAUAAUACUUUAAAAUCAAUCCUAAAUGUAACUGGUAGCCAGUGUA